This 791-nucleotide ribosomal RNA is filed under the name uncultured bacterium. Its description in RNAcentral is "bacterial SSU rRNA". It matches the Rfam family "Bacterial small subunit ribosomal RNA", at positions 8 to 796 of the family's 1533-position model. The record is from RNAcentral.
AGAGUUUGAUCCUGGCUCAGGAUGAACGCUAGCGGCAGGCCUAAUACAUGCAAGUCGAGGGGCAACAGGUGUAGCAAUACAUGCUGGCGACCGGCGCACGGGUGCGUAACACGUAUGAAACCUACCCAUAACUUGGGAAUAGCCCGAAGAAAUUCGGAUUAAUGUCCAAUAACACGUUGAAAUGGCAUCAUUUUAAUGUUAAAGAUUUAUCGGUUAUGGAAGGUCAUGCGGCUGAUUAGCUAGUUGGUGAGGUAAUGGCUCACCAAGGCGACGAUCAGUAGGGGACCUGAGAGGGUGAUCCCCCACACUGGUACUGAGAUACGGACCAGACUCCUACGGGAGGCAGCAGUAGGGAAUAUUGGGCAAUGGGCGAGAGCCUGACCCAGCCAUGCCGCGUGCAGGAAGAAGGCCUUCUGGGUUGUAAACUGCUUUUGAUCGGGAACAAAGAGUCCAUGCGUGGAAAGUUGAGUGUACCGAUAGAAUAAGCACCGGCUAACUCCGUGCCAGCAGCCGCGGUAAUACGGGGGGUGCAAGCGUUGUCCGGAUUUAUUGGGUUUAAAGGGUGCGUAGGCGGUCUUUUAAGUCAGCGGUGAAAGCCUCCAGCUUAACUGGAGAAAUGCCAUUGAUACUGGAAGACUUGAGUACAGACGAGGUAGGCGGAAUUGACAGUGUAGCGGUGAAAUGCAUAGAUAUUGUCGAGAACACCGAUUGCGAAGGCAGCUUACUAGACUGUAACUGACGCUGAGGCACGAAAGUGUGGGGAUAAACAGGAUUAGAUACCCNNGUAGUCC